RNAcentral lists this transfer RNA (89 nucleotides) under Acholeplasmataceae bacterium. RNAcentral's name for it is "tRNA-Ser". It matches the Rfam family "tRNA". Rfam says of the family: Transfer RNA (tRNA) molecules are approximately 80 nucleotides in length. The record is from RNAcentral. RNAcentral also lists the same sequence under 3 other names. Lineage: Bacteria; Bacillati; Mycoplasmatota; Mollicutes; Acholeplasmatales; Acholeplasmataceae.
GGAGAGGUGGCCGAGUGGUUUAAGGCGCUAGUCUUGAAAACUAGUGAUUCCGCAAGGAACCGUGGGUUCGAAUCCCACCUUCUCCGCCA